RNAcentral lists this unclassified non-coding RNA (1651 nucleotides) under Leishmania donovani. RNAcentral describes it as "gene:LdHU3.34.1110(CDS-product:proteasome_regulat ory_non-ATPase_subunit_11_putative)". Lineage: Eukaryota; Euglenozoa; Kinetoplastea; Trypanosomatida; Trypanosomatidae. The record is from RNAcentral.
AGAACGCGCUGCCGACGUGAGCACAACACGCACAUUGAAGCGCUGUGUGACUGGCGAAAGUCUGUUCUUUUUCUCUCCCACUCCCUUUCCCGUCUUUCUCAAACGCGCGCGCACAUCUGCCGAGUGUCGCAACCGUCAGCAUCACUGCCGUCGUUGAAGCGAUCUCUUUGAUUUCGUUUAGUUUGCUGUUUUACUUUUAUUUUUCCGCGUUUCUGCGCUCCAUUCCAAGUGCGCUGCCGUGCAGGAUUGUAUCCCCCCCCCUCCUCCACGAAGCGUGCCUCUGCUCGCCCACCCAUCCCAAGCUGUCCCUCGACUCCUUGCGAGUUUGUAAACGCACACUCUCGUCGCACAAGCGCACAUACAUACACACAGGGGUGCAGGUACAAGAUGGACCCCUCGGCCUUCGGAAUGAUGGCUGGCCGCGGCAUGGGCCGCCAGACUGAGGUGCGCGAUGCCCGCGACACUGCGGAGACGAUUCAGAUUUCGUCCAUCGCACUGCUGAAGAUGCUCAUUCACGGUCGCGCCGGCGUGCCGCUGGAGGUGAUGGGCCUCAUGAUUGGCGAGGAGAUCGACGACUACACAAUUCGUGUGGCGGAUGUCUUCUCGAUGCCGCAGACCGCCACGGGUCAGUCCGUCGAGGCGGUCGACCCGGAGUACCAGGUGCACAUGCUGGACAAGCUGAAACUGGUCGGUCGUCACGAGAACGUCGUGGGGUGGUACCACAGCCAUCCCGGAUUCGGCUGCUGGCUGUCCUCGGAGGAUGUGAUGACAGCCGCCGGCUACGAGAAUCUGACCCCGCGCAGCGUGUCGGUCGUGGUGGACCCCAUCCAGUCUGUGCGCGGCAAGGUGGUGAUUGACGCCUUCCGCACUAUCCCCCAGGAAAUUAUGGCUAUGCGGGCGAUGGGUGAGUACGUGGAACCGCGUCAGGUGACGUCGAACAUCGGAUUUCUGUCCAAGCCGUCGGCUGUGGCCCUCUCCCACAAUCUCAACCGCCAGUACUACAACCUACCCGUCACCUUCCGUAAGAAGAAUCACGAGUUGCGGCUGCUGCUGAACGUGUACCGCAAGGGCUGGCAGGAGGGCUUCAAGUUGGAGAAGGCGAAGGUGUACCAGCGGGAGACCCGCACGAGCAUUCGCGAGCUCAUCUCCCUCUCAAAGCAGGCGGAGAAGUACAUAACGCAAGGACGCGACGAGGACGAUCUCGGCAACGUCGGUCAGAUCAACGCCAUGUCUCACCUGCAGAUGGAGGCGGAAAACGUCAUCCACCGCAAUCUUAACCAAUCCAUCGGCGCCAUGAUCAACGCAGUGGUGUUCUGAUAUUUCAUUUUCCCUCUUCUCUUCACCUUCUCUUGGACUUCUUUCUUUCCUGUUGCUGUCGUUGCGUCCUUGCGCGACGGGCUGCAAUGAUUGUCUGUGUGUAUGUGUGUCUGUGCAUACCUGGUACCUUGUGGAGCCAAGUAUAUCUCUGUGAGUGUGAGUGUGCGUAUAGGGCGACGUCUACUGCCGAUGUGUGUGAGAGCAUGCGGUCCGCUUUUUUCUUGUCUGUGUGCGAAAUGCAAAGGAGAAAAAUUAUAUGCAUAUAUAGACUUGAGCUUGUCAUGAGGUCACCAAUGACCCUCAACAUACGUGACAGCGAGUGCGACCAUAAUGG